This 835-nucleotide ribosomal RNA is filed under the name uncultured bacterium. RNAcentral describes it as "bacterial SSU rRNA". It matches the Rfam family "Bacterial small subunit ribosomal RNA", at positions 71 to 903 of the family's 1533-position model. The record is from RNAcentral.
GCACGGACUUCGGUCUGGUGGCGAGUGGCGAACGGGUGAGUAAUGUAUCGGAACGUGCCCAGUAGUGGGGGAUAACUACUCGAAAGAGUGGCUAAUACCGCAUGAGAUCUCUGGAUGAAAGCGGGGGACCGUAAGGCCUCGCGCUACUGGAGCGGCCGAUAUCAGAUUAGGUAGUUGGUAGGGUGAGAGCCUACCAAGCCAACGAUCUGUAGCUGGUCUGAGAGGACGACCAGCCACACUGGGACCGAGACACGGCCCAGACCCCUACGGGAGGCAGCAGUGGGGAAUUUUGGACAAUGGACGCAAGUCUGAUCCAGCAAUACCGCGUGCAGGACGAAGGCCUUCGGGUUGUAAACUGCUUUUGUACGGAACGAAAAGCCUUCUUCUAAUACAGGGAGGUCAUGACGGUACCGUAAGAAUAAGCACCGGCUAACUACGUGCCAGCAGCCGCGGUAAUACGUAGGGUGCAAGCGUUAAUCGGAAUUACUGGGCGUAAAGCGUGCGCAGGCGGUUGUGUAAGACAGGUGUGAAAUCCCCGAGCUCAACUUGGGAAUUGCACUUGUGACUGCACAGCUAGAGUACGGCAGAGGGGGAUGGAAUUCCGCGUGUAGCAGUGAAAUGCGUAGAUAUGCGGAGGAACACCGAUGGCGAAGGCAAUCCCCUGGGCCUGUACUGACGCUCAUGCACGAAAGCGUGGGGAGCAAACAGGAUUAGAUACCCUGGUAGUCCACGCCCUAAACGAUGUCAACUGGUUGUUGGGAAUUAACUUUCUCAGUAACGAAGCUAACGCGUGAAGUUGACCGCCUGGGGAGUACGGCCGCAAGGUUGAAACUCA